AGAGUUUGAUCAUGGCUCAGGAUGAACGCUAGCUACAGGCUUAACACAUGCAAGUCGAGGGGAAACGACAUUGGAAGCUUGCUUCCUUUGGGCGUCGACCGGCGCACGGGUGAGUAACGCGUAUCCAACCUUCCCGCAAGUAAGGGAUAACCCGUAGAAAUGCGGCCUAAUACCUUAUGUUUUCCUUAGAGGGCAUCUGAUGAGGAACAAAGAUCCGUCGCUUGCGGAUGGGGAUGCGUCUGAUUAGUUAGUCGGCGGGGUAACGGCCCACCGAGACGACGAUCAGUAGGGGUUCUGAGAGGAAAGUCCCCCACAUUGGAACUGAGACACGGUCCAAACUCCUACGGGAGGCAGCAGUGAGGAAUAUUGGUCAAUGGGCGGAAGCCUGAACCAGCCAAGUAGCGUGCAGGACGACGGCCCUAUGGGUUGUAAACUGCUUUUAUGCGGGGAUAAAGUGGGCCACGUGUGGCCUUUUGCAGGUACCGCAUGAAUAAGGACCGGCUAAUUCCGUGCCAGCAGCCGCGGUAAUACGGAAGGUCCGGGCGUUAUCCGGAUUUAUUGGGUUUAAAGGGAGCGCAGGCCGCCGGGCAAGCGUGUUGUGAAAUGCAGUCGCUCAACGUCUGCACUGCAGCGCGAACUGCCCAGCUUGAGUGCGCGCAACGUUGGCGGAAUUCGCCGUGUAGCGGUGAAAUGCUUAGAUAUGGCGAAGAACUCCGAUUGCGAAGGCAGCUGACGGGUGCGUAACUGACGCUCAUGCUCGAAAGUGCGGGUAUCGAACAGGAUUAGAUACCCUGGUAGUCCGCACGGUAAACGAUGGAUGCCCGCUAUUCGGCCCAUGCGGUUGAGUGGCCAAGCGAAAGCGUUAAGCA
RNAcentral lists this ribosomal RNA (869 nucleotides) under uncultured bacterium. RNAcentral's name for it is "bacterial SSU rRNA". It matches the Rfam family "Bacterial small subunit ribosomal RNA", at positions 8 to 866 of the family's 1533-position model. The record is from RNAcentral.